Molecule: RNA transcript, 2068 nt
Organism: Beta vulgaris subsp. vulgaris (sugar beet)
Lineage: Eukaryota; Viridiplantae; Streptophyta; Magnoliopsida; Caryophyllales; Amaranthaceae
Gene name: nucleobase-ascorbate transporter 1
Exons: 15
Source: RefSeq, a predicted model, not a curated record
ACCUUUUUAUCUGUUAAAAUUUUCCACCUUUUUUUCCACUUUAAUUCUUCCACUCUCAAAAUUAUUCUCUCUUCUCUUUCACACUUCUCUUACUUUCUCUCUCCUCUGUAUUUUUUUCUGGGUGUUUCUCUCUCUUCAGUGAGUGUAACAGUGGAGCUUUGAAGCUCUCAACAAUGGCGGAUAUUAGUCAUCCUCCCAUGGAACAACUUCAAGACCUUGAAUAUUGCAUAGACUCUAAUCCUCCUUGGGUUGAAACCAUCCUUUUAGCAUUUCAGAACUACAUUCUGAUGCUUGGUACAAGUGUGAUGAUUCCUACAAUAAUCGUCCCUGCAAUGGGUGGAUCUGAUGGUGACAAGGCACGGGUCAUACAAACUCUCCUAUUUGUGGCAGGGAUUAACACACUCUUGCAAGCAUUGUUUGGGACCAGGCUACCCGCUGUAGUUGGAGGAUCGUUUGCUUAUAUUAUCCCUGUAGCAUACAUUAUAAAUGACUCAUCACUGCAGCGCAUUCCCGAUUCACAUGAUAGAUUUAUUCAAACUAUGAGGGCUAUUCAAGGAGCUCUGAUUGUUUCUUCAAGUAUACAAAUCAUUUUAGGUUACAGCCAACUUUGGGGCCUCUUUUCACGAUUCUUUAGUCCUCUUGGGAUGGCACCAGUUGUUGGAUUGGUCGGCUUAGGGUUGUUUCAGCGAGGAUUUUCAGCACUAGGAAACUGCGUAGAAAUUGGGUUUCCAAUGCUCUUGCUCGUGAUUGGAACGUCUCAAUAUUUGAAGCAUAUCAGACCUUUGAGGGAUAUACCAAUAUUCGAGCGAUUUCCAGUCAUUAUUUGUGUCACGAUUGUGUGGGUUUAUGCCAUUAUAUUGACAGCAGCUGGGGCCUACAAACAUAAACCCCACAGCACUCAGAUCAGUUGUCGUACAGAUAGGUCAAAUCUCAUAUCAACAGCCCCAUGGUUUAAAUUUCCAUAUCCUUUGCAAUGGGGCCCUCCUACUUUUGCAGCCGGUCAUUCCGUUGCUAUGAUGGCAUCUGUUUUUGUUUCGAUGAUCGAAUCAACUGCUGCUUACAAGGCAGCAUCCAGGCUUGCGAUUGCUACUCCUCCUCCAGCUUAUGUUCUGAGUCGCGGCAUAGGAUGGCAGGGGAUUGGAAUUUUGCUGGAUGGUCUCUUUGGAACUGGCACUGGAUCUACUGUGUCUGUGGAAAAUGUCGGAUUGCUAGGGCUCACUCGAGUAGGAAGUCGGAGAGUGGUUCAAAUCUCAGCCGGUUUUAUGAUUUUCUUUUCUACUUUAGGAAAAUUUGGUGCUGUUUUUGCAUCCAUACCAUUCCCUAUAUUCGCUGCAUUAUACUGUGUUCUUUUUGGCCUUGUGGCUUCGGUUGGACUAUCAUUUCUACAAUUUACAAACAUGAACUCUAUGAGGAAUCUUUUUAUAAUUGGGAUCUCUCUUUUUCUCGGUAUAUCUAUACCUCAAUUCUUCGACGACUAUCUUCCGCAUCAUGGCCUUGUUCGGACGAAUGCAGGAUGGUUCAAUGCAUUUGUGACAACGAUCUUCAUAUCAUCACCGACAGUAAGCUUGAUCAUUGCAGUUUUCUUGGACAACACAUUAGACGUAGAGAGAUCAAAAAAAGAUAGAGGGAUGCCGUGGUGGGUGAAGUUUAGAAGUUUUAGAGGAGACAACAGGAAUGAAGAAUUUUACACAUUACCUUUUAAUCUCAACAGAUUCUUUCCUCCUACAUAGUAAAAACCGCCCUUGGAAUUUUAUCAGUUCUGAUAAGACUAACCAUGCUGAGUUCAGAUAGACGACGGAGAUUCAGCAACAAACUGGAUAUAUAUUGAUCGUAAAAACGCUAGAUCAUUCUAACGUAUCCGGUGUAAUUUUUGGUGGACCGUGUGCAGCAAGGUCCUAGAGUUAGGGAUUUAUCUAAAGACUGAAUCAGAGGAUAUGAAGACUAAAAACUUGAUUGAAUUAUAAUGUUUUGGGACAUUUAAAAGCAAACUAUAGAGUUCAAAUCCCCGAAUGAGAAAUCGAAAUAUAAUUUGUUUUGUAAGUUCAAAACACGAGUACAAAAUGUACAA